GACGAACGCUGGCGGCGUGCUUAACACAUGCCAGUCGAACGGAAAGGCCCUGCUUGCAGGGUACUCGAGUGGCGAACGGGUGAGUAACACGUGGGUGAUCUGCCCUGCACUUCGGGAUAAGCCUGGGAAACUGGGUCUAAUACCGGAUAGGAGCCAUUUUUAGUGUGAUGGUUGGAAAGUUUUUUCGGUGUAGGAUGAGCUCGCGGCCUAUCUGCUUGUUGGUGGGGUAAUGGCCUACCAAGGCGGCGACGGGUAGCCGGCCUGAGAGGGUGGACGGCCACAUUGGGACUGAGAGACGGCCCAGACUCCGACGGGAGGCAGCAGUGGGGAAUAUUGAACAAGGGGCGCAAGCCUGAUGCAGCGAGGCCGCGGGGGGGAGGACGGCCUUCGGGUUGUAAACUCAUUUCGCUAGGGACGAAGCUUUUUGUGACGGUACCUAGAUAAGAAGCACCGGCUAACUACGUG
RNAcentral lists this ribosomal RNA (465 nucleotides) under uncultured bacterium. RNAcentral describes it as "partial 16S ribosomal RNA". It matches the Rfam family "Bacterial small subunit ribosomal RNA", at positions 28 to 507 of the family's 1533-position model. The record is from RNAcentral.